RNAcentral lists this long non-coding RNA (309 nucleotides) under Vigna radiata. Its description in RNAcentral is "long non-coding RNA (VRAD_LNC000403)". The record is from RNAcentral. Lineage: Eukaryota; Viridiplantae; Streptophyta; Magnoliopsida; Fabales; Fabaceae.
CACCUACUAUGGAAAAAAAUAACCUUCCCUGAUGUACUUCCACCAGUGAAGAGGAAGUUGCUUGGGAGGCCAUAGAAAAAAGGGAGUUUAGAGGCAUGGAAGCUAACUAAGGGUGACACUCAAAUGUUUGUUGGUGGACAUAGAAAAAAAUGUAACAUUUGUCGUUAGAGGGGGCACAACAAGAAUAAUUGCCAUUUACGUCCCUAGCCAGCAAAAACAACAGAGCCAAUGGACGAAACACAACCAUCACAAGCACCUUCAAGUUCCUAAACCCCUCUACCAUCACAGCCACCAAGUACCCAAUCAACC